RNAcentral lists this ribosomal RNA (476 nucleotides) under bacterium AB2014. RNAcentral describes it as "bacterial SSU rRNA". It matches the Rfam family "Bacterial small subunit ribosomal RNA", at positions 28 to 475 of the family's 1533-position model. The record is from RNAcentral.
GACGAACGCUGGCGGCGUGCUUAACACAUGCAAGUCGAACGAGAUGAUUUUAAGCUUGCUUAGAUGAGUCGAGUGGCAAACGGGUGAGUAACGCGUAGACAACCUGCCGCAAAGAUGGGGACAACAGUCCGAAAGGACUGCUAAUACCGAAUGUUGUCAGUUUUUCGCAUGGGAGACUGAUUAAAGAUGGCCUCUACUUGUAAGCUAUCGCUUUGCGAUGGGUCUGCGUCUGAUUAGCUAGUUGGUGGGGUAACGGCCUACCAAGGCGACGAUCAGUAGCCGGUCUGAGAGGAUGAACGGCCACAUUGGAACUGAGACACGGUCCAGACUCCUACGGGAGGCAGCAGUGGGGAAUCUUCCGCAAUGGGCGAAAGCCUGACGGAGCAACGCCGCGUGAGUGAAGAAGGGUUUCGGCUCGUAAAGCUCUGUUGACGGGGACGAACUGUGCGAGAUGCGAAUAGUUCUUGCAAUGACGU